GGGCUAGUGGCGGAAUUGGUAUACGCGCGCGCCUUAAGAGCGUGUGGGGAAACCCUUGUGGGUUCGAGUCCCACCUAGCCUA
This 82-nucleotide transfer RNA is filed under the name Candidatus Daviesbacteria bacterium. RNAcentral describes it as "tRNA-Leu". It matches the Rfam family "tRNA". Rfam says of the family: Transfer RNA (tRNA) molecules are approximately 80 nucleotides in length. Lineage: Bacteria; Candidatus Daviesiibacteriota. The record is from RNAcentral.